This 373-nucleotide ribosomal RNA is filed under the name uncultured bacterium. RNAcentral describes it as "bacterial SSU rRNA". It matches the Rfam family "Bacterial small subunit ribosomal RNA", at positions 132 to 507 of the family's 1533-position model. The record is from RNAcentral.
AUAAUCGGGGAAUAGCCCAGCGAAAGUUGGAUUAAUGCUCCAUGUGAGUUUUAGAGGCAUCUCUUUAAUUUGAAACGCAAGGAUUAUGGGUGAGCACGCUUCUGAUUAGGUAGUAGGCGGGUAACGGCCACCUAGCCUUCGAUCAUUAGGGGUUCUGAGAGGAAGGUCCCCCACACUGGAACUGAGACACGGUCCAGACUCCUACGGGAGGCAGCAGUGAGGAAUAUUGGGUCAAUGGUCGGAAGACUGAACCAGCCAAGUAGCGUGAAGGAUGAAGGUUCUAUGGAUUGUAAACUUCUUUUAUACGGGAAUAAAACAUCCCACGUGUGGGAUCUUGUAUGUACCGUAUGAAUAAGCAUCGGCUAACUCCGUG